This 850-nucleotide ribosomal RNA is filed under the name sediment metagenome. RNAcentral's name for it is "bacterial SSU rRNA". It matches the Rfam family "Bacterial small subunit ribosomal RNA", at positions 470 to 1326 of the family's 1533-position model. The record is from RNAcentral.
UGACGGUACCAGAAGAAUAAGGACCUGCUAAACUCGUGCCAGCAGCCGCGGUAAUACGAGUGGUCCAAGCGUUAUCCGGAUUUAUUGGGCGUAAAGAGUCUGUAGGCGUCCUGGUGCAUCUUCUGUUAAAUGCUGAAGCUUAACUUCAGCGCUGCGGGAGAGAUGGUCAGGAUUGAGGCCGGAAGAGGUAUGCGGAACUGUCGGUGUAGUAGUAAAAUGCGUUAAUAUCGGCAGGAACACCAAAGGCGAAAGCAGCAUACUGGUACGGAUCUGACGCUGAGAGACGAAAGCGUGGGGAGCGAAGCGGAUUAGAUACCCGCGUAGUCCACGCCGUAAACGAUGGAUACUAGACAUUGGGAGUAUCGACCCUCCCAGUGUCGUUUAUCAAAGGUAACCCCUUAAGUAUCCCGCCUGGGGAGUACGGCCGCAAGGCUAAAACUCAAAGGAAUUGACGGGAACCCGCACAAGCGGUGGAGCAUGUGGUUCAAUUCGACAAUAAGCGAGGAACCUUACCAGGGCUUGACAUGAUGCUGCAAGCGCACGGAAACGUGUGACCUUCGAGGGUGCAUCACAGGUGCUGCAUGGUUGUCGUCAGCUCGUGCCGUAAGGUGUACAGUUAAGUCUGGAAACGAGCGCAACCUCUAUUGCCAGUUAUACGUAUCUGGCGAGACUGCCCCCCACAAGGGGGAGGAAGGUGGAGAUGACGUCAAAUCAGCAUGGCUCUUACGUCCUGGGCUACACACGUGCUACAAUGGGGUGCAACAAUGGGCCGCCAACCCGUAAGGGGGAGCUAAUCCCAUCAAACCACCCCCCAGUUCAGAUUGAGGGCUGCAACUCGCCCUCAUGAAGC